This is a long non-coding RNA of Mauremys mutica (yellowpond turtle), 981 nucleotides long. RefSeq lists it as uncharacterized. The transcript is spliced from 5 exons. The record is from RefSeq and is a predicted model, not a curated record. NCBI's taxonomy places the organism in Eukaryota, Metazoa, Chordata, Testudines, Geoemydidae.
UGAUAUUCUAAUGUCCAAAAAAGGAGGAUGGAAGAGACCUGGGUUUUUUCUUUAAAGGUUGAAGCAGCUGCAAUAGACUUGCCCAAUGAUAUUAAAAAGGAUAUUGGAGCAAUUAAAGAAAAGACGGCCCUCAGUAAUACUUCCCAGGUUUCAUACAGAGCCUUGAGUGCUGGGACAGGACUUGAGGAGUUUAGUCAGUGCUGCAGACAUUAAGGAAGAGUAAUGAUGCUGAAGGAAAAUUAGCAAUUAUUUUCUCACCAUUCCGACACUGUUCGGCUUCACAAAAGCGAAUUCCUUCAGGAACACAGAUAAAGGAAUGGACAUGGGGAAUUCCAUUCUACAGAUUUAAAACACACUUGUAAAGUAUCAUCCACACAAAGGAAAGGAGAGGGCAGGUAGAAUAACUGGAUUGAGAGAAGCCACCUGGUACCUGAUCCUUAGAAAAUGUAAUAUCAGAACAUUCCUGGCACUCCUACCUCUACCUCGUCUGGCCAUUGUACCUCGGCAGUUCACAUGCUCUCCAGCAGAAGCCUGGGUCUCUGUACUGUCAUGGACUGAUACAGGAAGAAUCAUUUCUGUGAAGAACUUACAGUUGACAUUCUGGACAGGGCCAAUAAGCAGGUGCAAUACCACAGAGAGAGGAUUCAGAGCAAGUGGAAAGGCACAGGCAGGCUGCAGAGUGCAGACUCCUGCUGUGCCUUCACCAGGGCCUAAGUUCCCUCCAUGUUACCAUGUGCUGCAUGCCAGGAACACUAUGGACCAUUCGGUGGUUGGAUGGCUCAUGCAACCAGUACUUAGCAGAAGCUGGACAGGGCAAAUCUAUGCCCAGCAUACUUCCAACCUCAUGCUGAUCCCCUCCUCACUGCAUUCCUCCCCCUCUACGCAAACACUCCUGCAGGUCUCCACAGCUGUACAGUUGUGGCAAGCACAUGCUAAACACACAAGAAAAGGAAAGGAGAACGUGCUAGAGGACACACAGAA